RNAcentral lists this ribosomal RNA (619 nucleotides) under uncultured bacterium. RNAcentral describes it as "partial 16S ribosomal RNA". The record is from RNAcentral.
GGGAGCUCUCCCAUAUGGUCGACCUGCAGGCGGCCGCGAAUUCACUAGUGAUUCGUAUUACCGCGGCUGCUGGCACGUAGUUAGCCGGUGCUUAUUCUUCAGGUACCGUCAUUAGCCCACUGUAUUAGAACAGGCCGUUUCUUCCCUGACAAAAGAGCUUUACAACCCGAAGGCCUUCUUCACUCACGCGGCAUUGCUGGAUCAGGCUUGCGCCCAUUGUCCAAAAUUCCCCACUGCUGCCUCCCGUAGGAGUCUGGACCGUGUCUCAGUUCCAGUGUGGCUGGUCGUCCUCUCAGACCAGCUACUGAUCGAUGCCUUGGUAGGCCUUUACCCCACCAACUAGCUAAUCAGAUAUCGGCCGCUCCAGGAGCAUGAGGUCUUGCGAUCCCCCACUUUCAUCCUUAGAUCGUAUGCGGUAUUAGCGUAACUUUCGCUACGUUAUCCCCCACUCCAGGGUACGUUCCGAUAUAUUACUCACCCGUUCGCCACUCGCCGCCAGGUUGCCCCGCGCUGCCGUUCGACUUGCAUGUGUAAGGCAUGCCCCCAGCGUUCGAUCUGAGCCAUGAUCAAACUCUAAUCGAAUUCCCGCGGCCGCCAUGUCGCCCGGGAGCAUGCGACG